This 253-nucleotide ribosomal RNA is filed under the name uncultured bacterium. Its description in RNAcentral is "partial 16S ribosomal RNA". It matches the Rfam family "Bacterial small subunit ribosomal RNA", at positions 524 to 776 of the family's 1533-position model. The record is from RNAcentral.
UACGUAGGGGGCAAGCGUUGUCCGGAAUCAUUGGGCGUAAAGAGCGUGUAGGCGGUCUGGUAAGUCGGCUGUGAAAGUCCAGGGCUCAACCCUGGGAUGCCGGUCGAUACUGCCGGACUAGAGUUCGGAAGAGGCGAGUGGAAUUCCCGGUGUAGCGGUGAAAUGCGCAGAUAUCGGGAGGAACACCAGUGGCGAAAGCGCUCUACUGGGCCAUAACUGACACUGAGGGACGAAAGCUAGGGGAGCGAAAGGG